This is an RNA transcript of Camellia sinensis, 642 nucleotides long. It is a transcript of the gene named putative amino acid permease 7, with no coding region annotated. Lineage: Eukaryota; Viridiplantae; Streptophyta; Magnoliopsida; Ericales; Theaceae. The record is from RefSeq and is a predicted model, not a curated record.
GUUUCAACUUUUAAGCAAGACAGGCAUUGAAAGAAAAAAUUUGUGUUGCUGUGUGGAUUUAUUUAUCAAUCUAUGAGGAAACAGAAAAGCCUCCGGGUGAUCCAUCUAAGUAUGUAUUCCUUCAUUGCUUUUGCAUUUAGAUUUUAUAAAAUGUAAUUGCAGGAGAUGGAAAGAUUAAAGGGGACAUUUAUGGAGUGUCUAAAACUACUGUAGUUGAAAAAGUAUGGGUUGUUGCUCAAGCAAUCGGAGACAUCGCUUUUGCUUUCACAUACAACAUUAUUCUUUUGGAGAUAGAGCUAAAAAAGUAAACCACAAACUUUCGAGAUGAAGGACACCCUGAAGUCGCCACCACCAGAAAAUCAGACCAUGAAGAAGGCCUCUACAGCAGCUAUUCUUCUUACUACCACCCUCUAUCUUUGCUGUGCUUGUUUCGGGUAUGCAGCCUUCGGCGACCAAACACCUGGAAAUCUGUUGACUGGCUUUGGAUUCUAUGAACCGUAUUGGCUUGUUGACUUUGCUAACGCAUGUGUCGUUCUUCAUCUCAUUGGAGGAUAUCAGGUGUACAGUCAGCCAUUAUUUGCUGAAGCAGAAAGAUAGAUAACAAAGAAACUCCCCGACAAUGAAUUUGUCAACAAUGUUUAC